Molecule: ribosomal RNA, 461 nt
Filed under: uncultured bacterium
Lineage: Bacteria
Description: bacterial SSU rRNA
Rfam family: Bacterial small subunit ribosomal RNA
Source: RNAcentral
CCAGACUCCUACGGGAGGCAGCAGUGGGGAAUAUUGCACAAUGGGGGAAACCCUGAUGCAGCGACGCCGCGUGAGUGAAGAAGUAAUUCGUUACGUAAAGCUCUAUCAGCAGGGAAGAAACACUGACCUUACGGUCAGCAGACGGUACCUGAGUAAGAAGCCCCGGCUAACUCCGUGCCAGCAGCCGCGGUAAUACGGAGGAUGCGAGCGUUAUCCGGAUUUAUUGGGUUUAAAGGGUGCGCAGGCGGAAGACAAAGUCAGCGGUAAAUUUGGGGGUCUCACCCUCUGCGAGCCGUUGAAACUGGUUUUCUUGAGUGAGUGAGAAGUAUGCGGAAUGCGUGGUGUAGCGGUGAAAUGCAUAGAUAUCACGCAGAACUCCGAUUGCGAAGGCAGCAUACCGGCGCUCAACUGACGCUCAUGCACGAAAGUGUGGGUAUCGAACAGGAUUAGAUACCCCUGUA